CAGCACCAGCUCUCUGAUGUUUCUAGCUCCUUAUUGAAAUCACCUUGCAAGGAGUUUUUCCAAACCAGCUGUCUGUGGGAGUAAUCAAGUUCCAACCCCGAUUCUGACUAGGAAGGUUUGGUCGCCCUGAUCACGCCUCCAUGGGAAAAAACGAAACUGACAGAUUAAGGGAGCAAUUCCAAGAAUAAUUUUGGCACUUGAUUUAAGACUGGAAAAUAAUUUUCCCUUCUUGUUUGGGCAAGGAAAAUGUCUCAAGGACAAGAAAAGCCUGCAGGAGAGGCCAGCUGAGAGCCCUUUUUCCUCUUCCCCUCUGCCAGGGCUUAUGUCUGUACAACAACUGAACUAUUUGCCACCUUCCUGAGUUUGUACUCAGUUGUUUAUAGCAGACUGGGAAAUAUGUGCAUUAUUAAAAUAAAAAUAUAAGCCAAAUAGCAAGACUUCUGAGUGGGAGAAACAACAGCCUUUAUAAGAAUUUAAAAUUCCAGCCUCAUCAUGAGAUUGCUUAUUAGUUGCAAGAAGCAAAAGAGUAUGCAGUGGAGAAACUGGACUACACCUUGAAUGGAUGAUCGAAAUUAACAUCACCAAUCAGAGGCAGACAGACACCUUGCGAUACCCUGAAAAGGACACAAAUCACAAGAGGAAAUCCAAACUGAAGAGCAUUGUAAAAAUUGACCUGUGUUCUUUUUAAAAUGUCAAUGUUAUGAAAGGCUGACUGUUUCAUAUUAAAAGAGACUAAACAGC
Molecule: long non-coding RNA, 741 nt
Organism: Pteropus alecto (black flying fox)
Lineage: Eukaryota; Metazoa; Chordata; Mammalia; Chiroptera; Pteropodidae
Exons: 2
Source: RefSeq, a predicted model, not a curated record